CUUUAUUGGAGAGUUUGAUCCUGGCUCAGGAUGAACGCUGGCGGCGUGCCUAAUACAUGCAAGUCGAGCGAAUGGAUUAAGAGCUUGCUCUUAUGAAGUUAGCGGCGGACGGGUGAGUAACACGUGGGUAACCUGCCCAUAAGACUGGGAUAACUCCGGG
Molecule: ribosomal RNA, 160 nt
Filed under: Bacillus thuringiensis serovar aizawai
Lineage: Bacteria; Bacillati; Bacillota; Bacilli; Caryophanales; Bacillaceae
Description: partial 16S ribosomal RNA
Rfam family: Bacterial small subunit ribosomal RNA
Source: RNAcentral